Molecule: ribosomal RNA, 724 nt
Filed under: Bacillus subtilis
Lineage: Bacteria; Bacillati; Bacillota; Bacilli; Caryophanales; Bacillaceae
Description: bacterial SSU rRNA
Rfam family: Bacterial small subunit ribosomal RNA
Source: RNAcentral
CUUGAGUGCAGAAGAGGAGAGUGGAAUUCCACGUGUAGCGGUGAAAUGCGUAGAGAUGUGGAGGAACACCAGUGGCGAAGGCGACUCUCUGGUCUGUAACUGACGCUGAGGAGCGAAAGCGUGGGGAGCGAACAGGAUUAGAUACCCUGGUAGUCCACGCCGUAAACGAUGAGUGCUAAGUGUUAGGGGGUUUCCGCCCCUUAGUGCUGCAGCUAACGCAUUAAGCACUCCGCCUGGGGAGUACGGUCGCAAGACUGAAACUCAAAGGAAUUGACGGGGGCCCGCACAAGCGGUGGAGCAUGUGGUUUAAUUCGAAGCAACGCGAAGAACCUUACCAGGUCUUGACAUCCUCUGACAAUCCUAGAGAUAGGACGUCCCCUUCGGGGGCAGAGUGACAGGUGGUGCAUGGUUGUCGUCAGCUCGUGUCGUGAGAUGUUGGGUUAAGUCCCGCAACGAGCGCAACCCUUGAUCUUAGUUGCCAGCAUUCAGUUGGGCACUCUAAGGUGACUGCCGGUGACAAACCGGAGGAAGGUGGGGAUGACGUCAAAUCAUCAUGCCCCUUAUGACCUGGGCUACACACGUGCUACAAUGGACAGAACAAAGGGCAGCGAAACCGCGAGGUUAAGCCAAUCCCACAAAUCUGUUCUCAGUUCGGAUCGCAGUCUGCAACUCNACUGCGUGAAGCUGGAAUCGCUAGUAAUCGCGGAUCAACAUGCCGCGGUGA